CAAGGUUUCCGUAGGUGAACCUGCGGAAGGAUCAUUAUUGUGAGGGCUUCGGCCCAUUGCAUAAUGCAAACCCUUGCCUUUUUAGUAGUAUCUCUGUUUCCUCGGCAGCUUAGUGCUAACAGCUUUGCCUGUCAAAGGACCCCUAAAACAAAACCUUUGUAAUCUCGAUCAUGUUCAGAAAAACUCAAUUUUUACAACUUUCAACAAUGGAUCUCUUGGCUCUGGCAUCGAUGAAGAACGCAGCGAAAUGCGAUAAGUAGUGUGAAUUGCAGAAUUCAGUGAAUCAUCGAAUCUUUGAACGCACAUUGCGCCCUUUGGUAUUCCUUAGGGCAUGCCUGUUCGAGCGUCAUUUAAAACCUCAAGCACGGCUUCGUGGCAGGGACCCUAAGAGGGACCUACCCGUAGCCCAGCUUGGUGAUGGGCGCCUGUCCCGCCGUGGUGCGCGGACUCGCCUCGAAUGCAGUUGGCAGCCCCAAUACCUCCUCAAUCGGAUCCGAAGUAGAAUUCGCAGGCCGUGGGUGGUGGUGGCUCUCCAAUGUAGGCAACCCGUAAAGCGUCUCCUCAAUCGGAUCCGAAGUAAAAUUCGCAGGCCGUGGACGGCGG
Molecule: ribosomal RNA, 603 nt
Filed under: Lentistoma bipolare
Lineage: Eukaryota; Fungi; Ascomycota; Dothideomycetes; Pleosporales; Lophiostomataceae
Description: eukaryotic LSU rRNA
Rfam family: 5.8S ribosomal RNA (bases 196-349)
Source: RNAcentral